GAUGAACGCUGGCGGCGUGCCUAAUACAUGCAAGUCGAGCGAACAGACGAGGAGCUUGCUCCUCUGACGUUAGCGGCGGACGGGUGAGUAACACGUGGAUAACCUACCUAUAAGACUGGGAUAACUUCGGGAAACCGGAGCUAAUACCGGAUAAUAUAUUGAACCGCAUGGUUCAAUAGUGAAAGACGGUUUUGCUGUCACUAAUAGAUGGAUCCGCGCCGCAUUAGCUAGUUGGUAAGGUAACGGCUUACCAAGGCAACGAUGCGUAGCCGACCUGAGAGGGUGAUCGGCCACACUGGAACUGAGACACGGUCCAGACUCCUACGGGAGGCAGCAGUAGGGAAUCUUCCGCAAUGGGCGAAAGCCUGACGGAGCAACGCCGCGUGAGUGAUGAAGGUCUUCGGAUCGUAAAACUCUGUUAUUAGGGAAGAACAAAUGUGUAAGUAACUAUGCACGUCUUGACGGUACCGAAUCAGAAAGCCACGGCUAACUACGUG
RNAcentral lists this ribosomal RNA (497 nucleotides) under uncultured bacterium. RNAcentral describes it as "partial 16S ribosomal RNA". It matches the Rfam family "Bacterial small subunit ribosomal RNA", at positions 28 to 507 of the family's 1533-position model. The record is from RNAcentral.